Molecule: unclassified non-coding RNA, 333 nt
Filed under: soil metagenome
Description: partial contains 5.8S ribosomal RNA, internal transcribed spacer 2, and large subunit ribosomal RNA
Rfam family: 5.8S ribosomal RNA (bases 1-120)
Source: RNAcentral
GAUGAAGAACGUAGCAAAAUGCGAUAAGUAAUGUGUAUUGCAGAAUUCAGUGAAUCAUCGAAUCUUUGAACGCACAUUGCGCCCGCCAGUAUUCUGGCGGGCAUGCCUGUUCGAGCGUCAUUUCAACCCUCAAGCUCAGCUUGGUGUUGGGACUCGCGGUAACCCGCGUUCCCCAAAUCGAUUGGCGGUCACGUCGAGCUUCCAUAGCGUAGUAAUCAUACACCUCGUUACUGGUAAUCGUCGCGGCCACGCCGUAAAACCCCAACUUCUGAAUGUUGACCUCGGAUCAGGUAGGAAUACCCGCUGAACUUAAGCAUAUCAAUAAGCGGAGGA